Molecule: ribosomal RNA, 990 nt
Filed under: uncultured bacterium
Lineage: Bacteria
Description: bacterial SSU rRNA
Rfam family: Bacterial small subunit ribosomal RNA
Source: RNAcentral
AGAGUUUGAUCAUGGCUCAGAUUGAACGCUGGCGGUAUGCUUAACACAUGCAAGUCGAACGGUAACAGCAUCUAGCUUGCUAGAUGGCUGACGAGUGGCGGACGGGUGAGUAACGCGUAGGAAUCUGUCUAAGUGUCUGGGACAACACGGGGAAACUCGUGCUAAUACCGGAUAAUCUUUUCGAAGGAAAGGUGGGGUUUUACCCUGUCGCACAUAGGUGAGCCUGCGUUAGAUUAGCUUGUUGGUGGGGUAAUGGCCUACCAAGGCAACGAUCUAUAGCUGUUCUGAGAGGAAGAUCAGCCACACUGGGACUGAGACACGGCCCAGACUCCUACGGGAGGCAGCAGUGGGGAAUAUUGGACAACGGGGGCAACCCUGAUCCAGCAAUACCGCGUGUGUGAAGAAGGCCUGAGGGUUGUAAAGCACUUUCAGCGAGGAGGAAGGGCAUAUGGUUAAUACCCAUAUGUUUUGACGUUACUCGCAGAAGAAGCACCGGCUAACUCUGUGCCAGCAGCCGCGGUAAUACAGAGGGUGCAAGCGUUAAUCGGAAUUACUGGGCGUAAAGCGUGCGUAGGCGGAUGCUUAAGUCAGAUGUGAAAGCCCUGGGCUUAACCUAGGAACUGCAUCUGAUACUGGGCAUCUAGAGUAUGGUAGAGGAUAGUGGAAUUUCAGGUGUAGCGGUGAAAUGCGUAGAGAUCUGAAGGAACACCAGUGGCGAAGGCGACUGUCUGGGCCAAUACUGACGCUGAGGUACGAAAGCAUGGGGAGCGAACGGGAUUAGAUACCCCGGUAGUCCAUGCCGUAAACGAUGGGUACUAGGUGUUGGAGGAUUCUACCCCUUCAGUGCCGCAGCUAACGCAUUAAGUACCCCACCUGGGGAGUACGAUCGCAAGGUUGAAACUCAAAGGAAUUGACGGGGGCCCGCACAAGCGGUGGAGCAUGUGGUUUAAUUCGAUGCAACGCGAAGAACCUUACCAGGGCUUGACAUGC